GUUGGGUAGGGGAGCGUUCUGUAAGCCUGCGAAGGUGGCCUGUGAGGGUUGCUGGAGGUAUCAGAAGUGCGAAUGCUGACAUAAGUAACGAUAAAGCGGGUGAAAAGCCCGCUCGCCGGAAGACCAAGGGUUCCUGUCCAACGUUAAUCGGGGCAGGGUGAGUCGACCCCUAAGGCGAGGCCGAAAGGCGUAGUCGAUGGGAAACGGGUUAAUAUUCCCGUACUUGGUGUUACUGCGAAGGGGGGACGGAGAAGGCUAUGUUGGCCGGGCGACGGUUGUCCCGGUUUAAGCGUGUAGGUGUGUGUUCCAGGUAAAUCCGGUUCACUUUAACACUGAGGCGUGAUGACGAGGCACUACGGUGCUGAAGUAACAAAUGCCCUGCUUCCAGGAAAAGCCUCUAAGCAUCAGGUAACAUCAAAUCGUACCCCAAACCGACACAGGUGGUCAGGUAGAGAAUACCAAGGCGCUUGAGAGAACUCGGGUGAAGGAACUAGGCAAAAUGGUGCCGUAACUUCGGGAGAAGGCACGCUGACACGUAGGUGAAGUGAUUUACUCACGGAGCUGAAGUCAGUCGAAGAUACCAGCUGGCUGCAACUGUUUAUUAAAAACACAGCACUGUGCAAACACGAAAGUGGACGUAUACGGUGUGACGCCUGCCCGGUGCCGGAAGGUUAAUUGAUGGGGUCAGCGCAAGCGAAGCUCCUGAUCGAAGCCCCGGUAAACGGCGGCCGUAACUAUAACGGUCCUAAGGUAGCGAAAUUCCUUGUCGGGUAAGUUCCGACCUGCACGAAUGGCGUAAUGAUGGCCAGGCUGUCUCCACCCGAGACUCAGUGAAAUUGAACUCGCUGUGAAGAUGCAGUGUACCCGCGGCAAGACGGAAAGACCCCGUGAACCUUUACUAUAGCUUGACACUGAACAUUGAGCCUUGAUGUGUAGGAUAGGUGGGAGGCUUUGAAGUGUGGACGCCAGUCUGCAUGGAGCCGACCUUGAAAUACCACCCUUUAAUGUUUGAUGUUCUAACGUGGACCCGUUACCCGGGUUACGGACAGUGUCUGGUGGGUAGUUUGACUGGGGCGGUCUCCUCCUAAAGAGUAACGGAGGAGCACGAAGGUUGGCUAAUCCUGGUCGGACAUCAGGAGGUUAGUGCAAUGGCAUAAGCCAGCUUGACUGCGAGCGUGACGGCGCGAGCAGGUGCGAAAGCAGGUCAUAGUGAUCCGGUGGUUCUGAAUGGAAGGGCCAUCGCUCAACGGAUAAAAGGUACUCCGGGGAUAACAGGCUGAUACCGCCCAAGAGUUCAUAUCGACGGCGGUGUUUGGCACCUCGAUGUCGGCUCAUCACAUCCUGGGGCUGAAGCAGGUCCCAAGGGUAUGGCUGUUCGCCAUUUAAAGUGGUACGCGAGCUGGGUUUAGAACGUCGUGAGACAGUUCGGUCCCUAUCUGCCGUGGGCGCUGGAGAACUGAGGGGGGCUGCUCCUAGUACGAGAGGACCGGAGUGGACGCAUCACUGGUGUUCGGGUUGUCAUGCCAAUGGCACUGCCCGGUAGCUAAAUGCGGAAGAGAUAAGUGCUGAAAGCAUCUAAGCACGAAACUUGCCCCGAGAUGAGUUCUCCCUGAGACUUAGAGUCUCCUGAAGGAACGUUGAAGACGACGACGUUGAUAGGCCGGGUGUGUAAGCGCAGCGAUGCGUUGAGCUAACCGGUACUAAUGAACCGUGAGGCUUAACCUUACAACGCCGAAG
Molecule: ribosomal RNA, 1737 nt
Filed under: Salmonella enterica subsp. enterica serovar Pullorum
Lineage: Bacteria; Pseudomonadati; Pseudomonadota; Gammaproteobacteria; Enterobacterales; Enterobacteriaceae
Description: bacterial LSU rRNA
Rfam family: Bacterial large subunit ribosomal RNA
Source: RNAcentral